CUCUCUUCCUCUCUUCCGCCGUGUUUUUGCCUUCUCUUUUCUUCCUUCGGCUUCCUAAAACCGCUUCCUUCACUCCCUCAGACAACUACCUCCCCAACUGCGGCUCUUCCUCCAAGGCCACCCUCUUCAACCAAGUCUUCAUAGGAGAUUCCAAUUCCUGGUCAGAUUUUGUCUCCACAGGCCGGUCUAUUUCAGUCACCAACAACAAAAGCCCACCUCCAAAGUCCAAACUCACCCUCUCCUUACAACACAGCAAUAUUUUUCAUCACUGCUUCAAGCUAUAGCUUCAGCAUCAAGAAAAUCGGAACUCACUUGUUUUUGUGCCCGUGAGGCAUAAGCGCCUCCAGCGGUUGCUGCUUCGGAUUGUGAGAGAGAAUAAUUACUGUGCUUUUUGUUUAGGUAAAGAUGGAUGACCCUAAUUGUGUAAGAGAAAAGAACAUGCAAGAGCUGCUAGGGAUUCCUUGCCAAACUUUUGGCAUCAAUUGGCAAUAGGUCUAGAAGAGAACGUAAGGAAACAAUUAAGGAGGUGUAUUGCAGCCUAGGUCCAAGUUAUGGUUUUGGGUUAACUAAGAGGUCCAAUGCAAAUUCAUGUCCAGUUUCAACUUCAUGUUUAAUUCCAGCUUUACAGAAAAAAAAAACCUCCUUCCAAUCACAAGUUGGACUAGAAUCUCUCAUCUUUGAUUAUUAUACAUAGUGGAAUAAAUUUUCUUUUCUAUUACUUAUGUAUGUGUGUGAAAACGUUUAUGACUAUCAAAUGAUUCACCUACAAGAUCGACAAAAGUUGGAAGGAGUUCUUUCUCCUUCACAUUUAGAGGACAUGGAAUUUGCUCAAUCUCUAGGCAGAACAGAGUGAACAUAAAGAAAUGUUAGUUUAUUUGCUGGGUUAUUUUUAAGUUCUCUCAGUAUGUGUAAUUUCUCCUGGACAACUUAGCUCAAUUACCAAUGAUGCUGGGUUUCAUUAAAUAAACUUUUAGUUCAAGUCUCAACUGUGAAAUGGUAAUGUGAUUGAGCAUUAAUCUUAUUGCACGUUUUCAAGGCUAUUUGCAAUUGAGCAGUUCAUCAGAAUUGUAACAUUUCGGUACUCAUUCUGCAAGGAUAUGAAGAAAAGGUACUUAUGCUUUUACAAGGAAGGCUUCAAUUCAGUUUCUGCUUUCAAGCUGAGACGUGUUACUCUAUGACGUUGUCUUGGUUGCCAUCAGUCGAAUACCGAUAAUCGAAGACAAAGUUUGGUUAUGUCAAGCUCUCAUCCAAACUUUUCACAUUUCACUUGGAAUGUUGCUGCUUGGGCAGACAAUGAAGUUGGUAGUACUUGCAUUGUUGAUGAUCAUGUACUAUUUUUUAUUCUAAUUAGCAGUCUUGAUAGGAAAAUCUGUAGUUCACUUUUUCAACCACAAAUCUGAAAGAAGGUUGUUGCGAUAAUGGCAUCGGGUUGCUCUUUAAAAUUUACGGGGACUGCUAUGAUUUUCUGUAGCUGCAAAACCCA
Molecule: long non-coding RNA, 1483 nt
Organism: Rosa chinensis
Lineage: Eukaryota; Viridiplantae; Streptophyta; Magnoliopsida; Rosales; Rosaceae
Exons: 6
Source: RefSeq, a predicted model, not a curated record